Diabrotica virgifera virgifera (western corn rootworm) is the source of this 2582-nucleotide long non-coding RNA. RefSeq lists it as uncharacterized. The transcript has 3 exons. The record is from RefSeq and is a predicted model, not a curated record. Lineage: Eukaryota; Metazoa; Arthropoda; Insecta; Coleoptera; Chrysomelidae.
UUUGUUGCCAAACUCCUCCGAAACCACUUGACCGAUUUUCAUGAAAUUUGGCAGGUACACUCGACCGAACAUGGAGUAGGUUGUUAUCUAUAUUUCAUGUCCGUACGUCAUAAGGGGGCUUUGCCCCCCCCUAAUAUUUUUUUUUAUUUUUCGACAAACCGAUUUUUCUUAAUUCUAUAUGAUUCAGAAGCAAAAGAUACAUACAAUCCUAAAUUUUCACUUUUCUAUCUUUAACCGUUAUUUUUUUAAAAAAAUUUCGUGGUUUAACAUCUAUAUAUAUAAAAUUCUCUUUCGCAGGCUUUGUUGCCAAACUCCUCCGAAACCACUUGACCGAUUUUCAUGAAAUUUGGCAGGUACACUCGACCGAACAUGGAGUAGGUUGUUAUCUAUAUUUCAUGUCCGUACGUCAUAAGGGGGCUUUGCCCCCCCCUAAUAUUUUUUUUUAUUUUUCGACAAACCGAUUUUUCUUAAUUCUAUAUGAUUCAGAAGCAAAAGAUACAUACAAUCCUAAAUUUUCACUUUUCUAUCUUUAACCGUUAUUUUUUUAAAAAAAUUUCGUGGUUUAACAUCUAUAUAUAUAAAAUUCUCUUUCGCAGGCUUUGUUGCCAAACUCCUCCGAAACCACUUGACCGAUUUUCAUGAAAUUUGGCAGGUACACUCGACCGAACAUGGAGUAGGUUGUUAUCUAUAUUUCAUGUCCGUACGUCAUAAGGGGGCUUUGCCCCCCCCUAAUAUUUUUUUUUAUUUUUCGACAAACCGAUUUUUCUUAAUUCUAUAUGAUUCAGAAGCAAAAGAUACAUACAAUCCUAAAUUUUCACUUUUCUAUCUUUAACCGUUAUUUUUUUUUAAAAAUUUCGUGGUUUAACAUCUAUAUAUAUAAAAUUCUCUUUCGCAGGCUUUGUUGCCAAACUCCUCCGAAACCACUUGACCGAUUUUCAUGAAAUUUGGCAGGUACACUCGACCGAACAUGGAGUAGGUUGUUAUCUAUAUUUCAUGUCCGUACGUCAUAAGGGGGCUUUGCCCCCCCCUAAUAUUUUUUUUUAUUUUUCGACAAACCGAUUUUUCUUAAUUCUAUAUGAUUCAGAAGCAAAAGAUACAUACAAUCCUAAAUUUUCACUUUUCUAUCUUUAACCGUUAUUUUUUUAAAAAAAUUUCGUGGUUUAACAUCUAUAUAUAUAAAAUUCUAAUUCGCAGGCUUUGUUACCGUACUCCUCCGAAACCGCUUGACUGAUUUUCAUGAAAUUUGGCAGGUGGACUCGACCGGACAGGGAGUAGGUUGUUAUCUAUAUUUCAUAGCCGUACGUUAUAAGGGGGCUUUGCCCCCCCUAAUAUUUUUUUUUAUUUUUCGACAAACCGAUUUUUCUUAAUUGUAUAUGAUUCAGAAGCAAAAGAUACAUACAAUCCUAAAUUUUCACUUUUCUAUCUUUAACCGUUAUUUUUUUAAAAAAAUUUCGUGGUUUAACAUCUAUAUAUAUAAAAUUCUCUUUCGCAGGCUUUGUUGCCAAACUCCUCCGAAACCACUUGACCGAUUUUCAUGAAAUUUGGCAGGUACACUCGACCGAACAUGGAGUAGGUUGUUAUCUAUAUUUCAUGUCCGUACGUCAUAAGGGGGCUUUGCCCCCCCCUAAUAUUUUUUUUUAUUUUUCGACAAACCGAUUUUUCUUAAUUCUAUAUGAUUCAGAAGCAAAAGAUACAUACAAUCCUAAAUUUUCACUUUUCUAUCUUUAACCGUUAUUUUUUUAAAAAAAUUUCGUGGUUUAACAUCUAUAUAUAUAAAAUUCUCUUUCGCAGGCUUUGUUGCCAAACUCCUCCGAAACCACUUGACCGAUUUUCAUGAAAUUUGGCAGGUACACUCGACCGAACAUGGAGUAGGUUGUUAUCUAUAUUUCAUGUCCGUACGUCAUAAGGGGGCUUUGCCCCCCCCUAAUAUUUUUUUUUAUUUUUCGACAAACCGAUUUUUCUUAAUUCUAUAUGAUUCAGAAGCAAAAGAUACAUACAAUGCUAAAUUUUCACUUUUCUAUCUUUAACCGUUAUUUUUUUUUUAAAAUUUCGUUGUUUAACAUCUAUAUAUAUAAAAUUCUCUUUCGCAGGCUUUGUUGCCAAACUCCUCCGAAACCACUUGACCGAUUUUCAUGAAAUUUGGCAGGUACACUCGACCGAACAUGGAGUAGGUUGUUAUCUAUAUUUCAUGUCCGUACGUCAUAAGGGGGCUUUGCCCCCCCCUAAUAUUUUUUUUUAUUUUUCGACAAACCGAUUUUUCUUAAUUCUAUAUGAUUCAGAAGCAAAAGAUACAUACAAUCCUAAAUUUUCACUUUUCUAUCUUUAACCGUUAUUUUUUUAAAAAAAUUUCGUGGUUUAACAUCUAUAUAUAUAAAAUUCUCUUUCGCAGGCUUUGUUGCCAAACUCCUCCGAAACCACUUGACCGAUUUUCAUGAAAUUUGGCAGGUACACUCGACCGAACAUGGAGUAGGUUGUUAUCUAUAUUUCAUGUCCGUACGUCAUAAGGGGGCUUUGCCCCCCCCUAAUAUUUUUUUUUAUUUUUCGACAAACCGAUUUUUCUUAAUUCUAUAUGAUUCAGAAGC